This 468-nucleotide ribosomal RNA is filed under the name uncultured bacterium. RNAcentral's name for it is "partial 16S ribosomal RNA". It matches the Rfam family "Bacterial small subunit ribosomal RNA", at positions 28 to 507 of the family's 1533-position model. The record is from RNAcentral.
GACGAACGCUGGCGGCGUGCUUAACACAUGCAAGUCGAACGGAAAGGCCCUGCUUUUGUGGGGUGCUCGAGUGGCGAACGGGUGAGUAACACGUGAGUAACCUGCCCUUGACUUUGGGAUAACUUCAGGAAACUGGGGCUAAUACCGGAUAGGAGCUCCUGCUGCAUGGUGGGGGUUGGAAAGUUUCGGCGGUUGGGGCUGGACUCGCGGCUUAUCAGCUUGUUGGUGGGGUAGUGGCUUACCAAGGCUUUGACGGGUAGCCGGCCUGAGAGGGUGACCGGCCACAUUGGGACUGAGAUACGGACCAGACUCCUACGGGAGGCAGCAGGGGGGAAUAUUGCACAAUGGGCGGAAGCCUGAUGCAGCAACGCCGCGUGCGGGAUGACGGCCUUCGGGUUGUAAACCGCUUUCGCCUGUGACGAAGAGUGAGUGACGGUAAUGGGUAAAGAAGCACCGGCUAACUACGUG